AAUGAACGCUGGCGGCAUGCCUAACACAUGCAGGUCGAACGAAGGCUUCGGCCUUAGUGGCGCACGGGUGCGUAACGCGUGGGAAUCUGCCCCUUGGUUCGGAAUAACAGUUAGAAAUGACUGCUAAUACCGGAUGAUGACGUAAGUCCAAAGAUUUAUCGCCGAGGGAUGAGCCCGCGUAGGAUUAGCUAGUUGGUGUGGUAAGAGCGCACCAAGGCGACGAUCCUUAGCUGGUCUGAGAGGAUGAUCAGCCACACUGGGACUGAGACACGGCCCAGACUCCUACGGGAGGCAGCAGUGGGGAAUAUUGGACAAUGGGCGAAAGCCUGAUCCAGCAAUGCCGCGUGAGUGAUGAAGGCCUUAGGGUUGUAAAGCUCUUUUACCCGGGAUGAUAAUGACAGUACCGGGAGAAUAAGCUCCGGCUAACUCCGUG
Molecule: ribosomal RNA, 433 nt
Filed under: uncultured bacterium
Lineage: Bacteria
Description: partial 16S ribosomal RNA
Rfam family: Bacterial small subunit ribosomal RNA
Source: RNAcentral